GGGAAGGUAGCUCAGUGGUAGAGUGCUUGCCUUGCAUGCAUGAGGCCCUGGGUUCGAUUCCUCAGCGCCA
This is a non-coding RNA of Dipodomys ordii (Ord's kangaroo rat), 70 nucleotides long. NCBI's taxonomy places the organism in Eukaryota, Metazoa, Chordata, Mammalia, Rodentia, Heteromyidae. The record is from Rfam.